RNAcentral lists this ribosomal RNA (253 nucleotides) under uncultured bacterium. Its description in RNAcentral is "partial 16S ribosomal RNA". It matches the Rfam family "Bacterial small subunit ribosomal RNA", at positions 524 to 776 of the family's 1533-position model. The record is from RNAcentral.
UACGUAGGGUGCAAGCGUUGUCCGGAAUUAUUGGGCGUAAAGAGCUCGUAGGCGGUCUGUCGCGUCGGAUGUGAAAACCCAGGGCUCAACCCUGAGCCUGCUUCCGAUACGGGCAGACUAGAGGUAUGCAGGGGAGAACGGAAUUCCUGGUGUAGCGGUGAAAUGCGCAGAUAUCAGGAGGAACACCGGUGGCGAAGGCGGUUCUCUGGGCCGUAACUGACGCUGAGGAGCGAAAGCGUGGGGAGCGAACAGG